This 223-nucleotide ribosomal RNA is filed under the name uncultured bacterium. Its description in RNAcentral is "partial 16S ribosomal RNA". It matches the Rfam family "Bacterial small subunit ribosomal RNA", at positions 328 to 539 of the family's 1533-position model. The record is from RNAcentral.
ACGCUCGACACCUACCGGAGGCAGCAGUAGGGAAUCUUCCACAAUGGACGCAAGUCUGAUGGAGCAACGCCGCGUGAGUGAAGAAGGUUUUCGGAUCGUAAAGCUCUGUUGUUGGUGAAGAAGGAUAGAGGCAGUAACUGGCCUUUAUUUGACGGUAAUCAACCAGAAAGUCACGGCUAACUACGUGACAGCAGCCGCGGUAAUCUGAGCGGGCUGGCAAGGC